GAUGAACGCUGGCGGCAUGCCUAAUACAUGCAAGUCGAGCGAACGGACGAGAAGCUUGCUUCUCUGAUGUUAGCGGCGGACGGGUGAGUAACACGUGGAUAACCUACCUAUAAGACUGGGAUAACUUCGGGAAACCGGAGCUAAUACCGGAUAAUAUUUUGAACCGCAUGGUUCAAAAGUGAAAGACGGUCUUGCUGUCACUUAUAGAUGGAUCCGCGCUGCAUUAGCUAGUUGGUAAGGUAACGGCUUACCAAGGCAACGAUGCAUAGCCGACCUGAGAGGGUGAUCGGCCACACUGGAACUGAGACACGGUCCAGACUCCUACGGGAGGCAGCAGUAGGGAAUCUUCCGCAAUGGGCGAAAGCCUGACGGAGCAACGCCGCGUGAGUGAUGAAAGUCUUCGGAUCGUAAAACUCUGUUAUUAGGGAAGAACAUAUGUGUAAGUAACUGUGCACAUCUUGACGGUACCUAAUCAGAAAGCCACGGCUAACUACGUG
This 497-nucleotide ribosomal RNA is filed under the name uncultured bacterium. Its description in RNAcentral is "partial 16S ribosomal RNA". It matches the Rfam family "Bacterial small subunit ribosomal RNA", at positions 28 to 507 of the family's 1533-position model. The record is from RNAcentral.